UGGGGAAUUUUGGACAAUGGACGAAAGUCUGAUCCAGCGACGCCGCGUGAAGGACGAAGGUUUUCGGAUCGUAAACUUCUUUUGCAGGGGACGAAAGCGGGCAACCGUUUGACAGUACUCUGCGAAUAAGCCACGGCUAACUACGUGCCAGCAGCCGCGGUAAUACGUAGGUGGCGAGCGUUACUCGGAAUUACUAGGCGUAAAGCGUGUGUAGGCGGGAGCUUAAGUCUGCUGUUAAAUCUCAUGGCCCAACCAUGAAAUGCCGGCGGAUACUGGGCUUCUUGAAUUCGGUAGGGGAAACUGGAAUUCCAGGUGUAGCGGUGAAAUGCGUAGAUAUCUGGAAGAACGCCAAAGGCGAAAGCAGGUUUCUGGGCCGCAAUUGACGCUGAGACACGAAAGCUAGGGGAGCAAACA
RNAcentral lists this ribosomal RNA (414 nucleotides) under uncultured prokaryote. RNAcentral describes it as "bacterial SSU rRNA". It matches the Rfam family "Bacterial small subunit ribosomal RNA", at positions 355 to 774 of the family's 1533-position model. The record is from RNAcentral.